This 439-nucleotide ribosomal RNA is filed under the name uncultured Gelria sp. RNAcentral's name for it is "bacterial SSU rRNA". It matches the Rfam family "Bacterial small subunit ribosomal RNA", at positions 338 to 791 of the family's 1533-position model. Lineage: Bacteria; Bacillati; Bacillota; Clostridia; Thermoanaerobacterales; Thermoanaerobacteraceae. The record is from RNAcentral.
CCUACGGGAGGCAGCAGUUGGGAAUCUUAGGCAAUGGGCGAAAGCCUGACCUAGCGACGCCGCGUGAGGGAAGAAGGCCUUCGGGUCGUAAACCUCUGUCAUGGGGGACGAAGAAAGUGACGGUACCCCAGGAGGAAGCCCCUGCUAACUACGUGCCAGCAGCCGCGGUAAUACGUAGGGGGCGAGCGUUGUCCGGAUUUACUGGGCGUAAAGGGCGAGUAGGCGGUUUGUUAAGUCAGGUGUGAAAUUCCAGGGCUCAACCCUGGAACUGCGCUUGAAACUGGCAGGCUAGAGGACAGGAGAGGGAAGCGGAAUUCCCGGUGUAGCGGUGAAAUGCGUAGAUAUCGGGAGGAAUACCAGUGGCGAAGGCGGCUUCCUGGACUGCACCUGACGCUGAGGAGCGAAAGCUGGGGGAGCAAACAGGAUUAGAUACCCGAGU